UAGGGAAUCUUCCACAAUGGGCGCAAGCCUGAUGGAGCAACACCGCGUGAGUGAAGAAGGGUUUCGGCUCGUAAAACUCUGUUGUUAAAGAAGAACACGUAUGAGAGUAACUGUUCAUACGUUGACGGUAUUUAACCAGAAAGUCACGGCUAACUACGUGCCAG
Molecule: ribosomal RNA, 164 nt
Filed under: uncultured bacterium
Lineage: Bacteria
Description: partial 16S rRNA
Rfam family: Bacterial small subunit ribosomal RNA
Source: RNAcentral